GACGGAGGGUGCAAGCGUUGUUCGGAAUCACUGGGCGUAAAGCGCACGUAGGCGGAUUGCUAAGUCAGGGGUGAAAUCCUGGAGCUCAACUCCAGAACUGCCUUUAAUACUGCCAGUCUCGAGUCCGGAAGAGGUAAGUGGAACUCCUAGUGUAGAGGUGGAAUUCGUAGAUAUUAGGAAGAACACCAGUGGCGAAGGCGGCUUACUGGUCCGGUACUGACGCUGAGGUGCGAAAGCGUGGGGAGCAAACAGG
This 253-nucleotide ribosomal RNA is filed under the name uncultured bacterium. RNAcentral describes it as "partial 16S ribosomal RNA". It matches the Rfam family "Bacterial small subunit ribosomal RNA", at positions 524 to 776 of the family's 1533-position model. The record is from RNAcentral.